GCUUCGUGCCCAGACCUAGUUGUC
RNAcentral lists this non-coding RNA (24 nucleotides) under Arabidopsis thaliana (thale cress). The record is from RNAcentral. Lineage: Eukaryota; Viridiplantae; Streptophyta; Magnoliopsida; Brassicales; Brassicaceae.